UAAAGUCUGAGUCUCAAGCCUUUUAAGC
Molecule: non-coding RNA, 28 nt
Filed under: Homo sapiens (human)
Lineage: Eukaryota; Metazoa; Chordata; Mammalia; Primates; Hominidae
Source: RNAcentral